AGUGAACGCUGGCGGUAGGCCUAACACAUGCAAGUCGAACGGCAGCACAGUAAGAGCUUGCUCUUACGGGUGGCGAGUGGCGGACGGGUGAGGAAUACAUCGGAAUCUACUUUUUCGUGGGGGAUAACGUAGGGAAACUUACGCUAAUACCGCAUACGACCUACGGGUGAAAGCAGGGGAUCUUCGGACCUUGCGCGAUUGAAUGAGCCGAUGUCGGAUUAGCUAGUUGGCGGGGUAAAGGCCCACCAAGGCGACGAUCCGUAGCUGGUCUGAGAGGAUGAUCAGCCACACGGGAACUGAGACACGGUCCAGACUCCUACGGGAGGCAGCAGAGGGGAAUAUUGGACAAUGGGCGAAAGCCUGAUCCAGCCAUACCGCGUGGGUGAAGAAGGCCGUCGGGUUGUAAAGCCCUUUUGUUGGGAAAGAAAAGCAGCAGGUUAAUACCCCGCUGUUCUGACGGUACCCAAAGAAUAAGCACCGGCUAACUUCGUG
This 492-nucleotide ribosomal RNA is filed under the name uncultured bacterium. RNAcentral's name for it is "partial 16S ribosomal RNA". It matches the Rfam family "Bacterial small subunit ribosomal RNA", at positions 29 to 507 of the family's 1533-position model. The record is from RNAcentral.